CAGGACAAUGGUGAGUGCCGGUACCUGCCCUGGGGCCGUCCCUGCACAGGGGCCACGUGCUCACCGCAUCUG
RNAcentral lists this microRNA precursor (72 nucleotides) under Nomascus leucogenys (northern white-cheeked gibbon). Its description in RNAcentral is "mir-1909 microRNA precursor family". It matches the Rfam family "mir-1909 microRNA precursor family". Lineage: Eukaryota; Metazoa; Chordata; Mammalia; Primates; Hylobatidae. The record is from Rfam by way of RNAcentral.